RNAcentral lists this ribosomal RNA (490 nucleotides) under uncultured bacterium. RNAcentral's name for it is "partial 16S ribosomal RNA". It matches the Rfam family "Bacterial small subunit ribosomal RNA", at positions 30 to 507 of the family's 1533-position model. The record is from RNAcentral.
AUUGAACGCUGGCGGCAUGCUUUACACAUGCAAGUCGGACGGCAGCACAGAGAAGCUUGCUUCUUGGGUGGCGAGUGGCGCACGGGUGAGUAAUAUAUCGGAACGUACCGAGUAAUGGGGGAUAACUAAUCGAAAGAUUAGCUAAUACCGCAUAUUCUCUGAGGAGGAAAGCAGGGGACCUUCGGGCCUUGCGUUAUUCGAGCGGCCGAUAUCUGAUUAGCUAGUUGGUGGGGUAAAGGCCUACCAAGGCGACGAUCAGUAGCGGGUCUGAGAGGAUGAUCCGCCACACUGGGACUGAGACACGGCCCAGACUCCUACGGGAGGCAGCAGUGGGGAAUUUUGGACAAAGGGCGCAAGCCUGAUCCAGCCAUGCCGCGUGUCUGAAGAAGGCCUUCGGGUUGUAAAGGACUUUUGUCAGGGAAGAAAAGGCUGUUGCUAAUAUCGACAGCUGAUGACGGUACCUGAAGAAUAAGCACCGGCUAACUACGUG